UACGUAGGGUGCGAGCGUUACUCGGAAUUACUGGGCGUAAAGCGUGCGCAGGCGGCUUUGUAAGCCCGAUGUGAAAUCCCCGGGCUUAACCUGGGAAUGGCAUUUGGGACUGCAAAGCUUGAGUGCGGCAGAGGGGACUGGAAUUCCUGGUGUAGCAGUGAAAUGCGUAGAGAUCAGGAGGAAUACCGAUGGCGAAGGCAGGUCCCUGGGCUGACACUGACGCUCAUGCACGAAAGCGUGGGGAGCAAACAGG
RNAcentral lists this ribosomal RNA (253 nucleotides) under uncultured bacterium. RNAcentral describes it as "partial 16S ribosomal RNA". It matches the Rfam family "Bacterial small subunit ribosomal RNA", at positions 524 to 776 of the family's 1533-position model. The record is from RNAcentral.